GGCUCGGUGGUGGACGGUCCACGCUCACAUGUAUUGGAUUGUCCGAAAUCAAUCAUGUGAGACACCCGUUCGAGUCCGGUCCGAGCCG
Mycena polygramma is the source of this 88-nucleotide non-coding RNA. The record is from the annotation of a GenBank genome assembly. Lineage: Eukaryota; Fungi; Basidiomycota; Agaricomycetes; Agaricales; Mycenaceae.